RNAcentral lists this ribosomal RNA (314 nucleotides) under uncultured bacterium. RNAcentral's name for it is "partial 16S ribosomal RNA". It matches the Rfam family "Bacterial small subunit ribosomal RNA", at positions 499 to 809 of the family's 1533-position model. The record is from RNAcentral.
UUAUAAGAGACAGCAGCCGCCGCGGUAAUACGGAGGAUCCAAGCGUUAUCCGGAAUCAUUGGGUUUAAAGGGUCCGUAGGCGGUCUUGUAAGUCAGUGGUGAAAGCCCAUCGCUCAACGGUGGAACGGCCAUUGAUACUGCAGGACUUGAAUUAUUGGGAAGUAACUAGAAUAUGUAGUGUAGCGGUGAAAUGCUUAGAGAUUACAUGGAAUACCAAUUGCGAAGGCAGGUUACUACCAAUUGAUUGACGCUGAUGGACGAAAGCGUGGGUAGCGAACAGGAUUAGAUACCCCAGUAGUCCCUGUCUCUUAUAA